This 255-nucleotide ribosomal RNA is filed under the name uncultured bacterium. RNAcentral describes it as "partial 16S ribosomal RNA". It matches the Rfam family "Bacterial small subunit ribosomal RNA", at positions 524 to 777 of the family's 1533-position model. The record is from RNAcentral.
UACGAAGGGGGCUAGCGUUGUUCGGAAUUACUGGGCGUAAAGCGCACGUAGGCGGAUACUUAAGUCAGGGGUGAAAUCCCGGGGCUCAACCCCGGAACUGCCUUUGAUACUGGGUAUCUCGAGUCCGGAAGAGGUGAGUGGAAUUCCGAGUGUAGAGGUGAAAUUCGUAGAUAUUCGGAGGAACACCAGUGGCGAAGGCGGCUCACUGGUCCGGUACUGACGCUGAGGUGCGAAAAGCGUGGGGAGCAAAGCAGG